CAAAUACUCCAUUCGUCCAGAAAUACUUGUCAUCAAAAUGGAUGAAAGGAAAUGUAUCUAGACGUAUUUUAGUUUUAGUUACAUCUCUUUUUAUCCAUUUUGAUGACAAGUAUUUUCGGACGGAGGGAGUAGAAA
Molecule: non-coding RNA, 135 nt
Organism: Triticum urartu
Lineage: Eukaryota; Viridiplantae; Streptophyta; Magnoliopsida; Poales; Poaceae
Source: Rfam